RNAcentral lists this ribosomal RNA (468 nucleotides) under uncultured bacterium. RNAcentral describes it as "partial 16S ribosomal RNA". It matches the Rfam family "Bacterial small subunit ribosomal RNA", at positions 28 to 507 of the family's 1533-position model. The record is from RNAcentral.
GACGAACGCUGGCGGCGUGCUUAACACAUGCAAGUCGAACGGAAAGGCCCUGCUUUUGUGGGGUGCUCGAGUGGCGAACGGGUGAGUAACACGUGAGUAACCUGCCCUUGACUUUGGGAUAACUUCAGGAAACUGGGGCUAAUACCGGAUAGGAGCUCCUGCUGCAUGGUGGGGGUUGGAAAGUUUCGGCGGUUGGGGAUGGACUCGCGGCUUAUCAGCUUGUUGGUGGGGUAGUGGCUUACCAAGGCUUUGACGGGUAGCCGGCAUGGGAGGGUGACCGGCCACAUUAGGACUGAGGGACGGACCAGACUCCUACGGGAGGCAGCAGUGGGGAGUAUUGCACAGUGGGCGGGAGCCUGAUGCAGCAACGCCGCGUGCGGAAUGACGGCCUUCGGGUUAUGAACCGCUUUCGCCUGUGACGAAGCGUGAGUGACGGUAAUGGGUAAAGAAGCACCGGCUAACUACGUG